GGUGGAAAGCAAGAAGUCUGAACAGAGUACUCAUUCUGAUGGGACAUCCCAAACAAGCCCUGGUGGGUGUCAUGAGCCAGGGGCUAAGUAGCACCCUAAAGGCACAGGAGUACAGGACCAGAACCUACAAGGGACUAGUCCGUUGUCCAUUUGACACUGACAUGAUGUCAAUGGCGCGUGCGUGCGCGCACACACACACACACACACACACACACACACACACACACACACACACGGGCUGGUGUCUAUAACCUUUUCCCGCUUGCUAGCUAGCUCUCCGAGACCCUGAGGUGUCCUCACCCACACCUCUAGCCCCUGUGGACCCACACGUAAUGUUCCUCUUCUCCCACUGUCUGUCUGCAUCUCUAACAGAGUUCUGUACUCUACCAUCCACAGAGAGCCUCAUGGCAAGAACUAGAGCCUACAGGCCUUCCCUCAGGUUGUUGGGAGGUUUUUGUUUGUUUGUUUUUUUAUUUUUGUUUGGUUUUUGGCAAGACAGUGUUCCCUGUGUAGACCCGGCCUGGCCUGGUACUCUGAGAUCUGCCUUCCGAAUGCUGGAAUCAAAGGCUUCGCCACCACAACCGCCACCCGCCACCACCCAGCUACUUCCCUGAGUCUUAAACACUGCGUGUGCUGAGUAAGCGAAUGAUGAGUACGUACCCAUUUACAGAAGGGGAAAGUGAGGCUCAAGAAAGGACACAAAGUGAACUCUUUCCAGGAGUAACAACAUCGAGAUGGACCUAAUGUCGCACUUCUGAGGGGGCAAAGAAGGCUAAAACCCCUGAUGCUUAGGGUCCAGAACCCUUGAUGGUAUUCAAAGUCAACUACUUCCAGCCUUGAAAAGCCAUAGUAGCAACAGGUCCCGGGUGCUUUCAGAGCAGGAAAAGUGGGCCUGGUGCCGCAAAGCGAAGGAGAAGCAGAGCUGGGUGUGGUGGGGUACGCAGGAGGCAGAGGCAGAUGAACUCGGAGAGCCUGGGGCCAGCUUGGCCAACAGAGCAAGUUCCAGGCGAGACACAGUGAGACCUUAUCUCUGUGUAUGUAUGCAUGCGUGUAUGUAUGUAUGUAUGUAUGUAUGUAUGUAUGUAUGUAAUUGGGGAGGAGGAGGGGUGAUGGGGGAGAGUUAAAACAGAAUUUCUCCAUAGCCUUGGCUGUCCUGGAACUCACUCUGUAGACCAUGGCUGGCCCCUUGAACUCAGAGGUUUGCCUACCUCCCUCUGCCUCUGGAGUGCUGGGAUUAAAGGUGUGCCACGCUGCUGGGUUAGGCCCUAUGAGGACUAGAAGAGGGGGAGGCGGGGAGGAGAGAGAGGAGGAAGAAGAGGAGUAAUAGAAAUAACAACAAUCACGGGAAUGAAGAGGCCUGGACAGAGAACAAUGGCGGUGGGGGGGCAUGGGCAGCUUCACUGGUAAGGACAGGUCAGGGAGUUGGGAAAGCUGGGUCAGAUGAACUUCCUUUUCCUUUGUAGUGCUGGAGACCAAACCCAGUGAUUCAGCCGUGCUAAGCAAGCACACCACGACCAAGCUACCCCCAGCCCCAUUAACUUUCAUACUUUGGCACAGGGUCUCGCCGGAUUAUUCAGGCUGACUUAGAAUUUGUGAUCCUUCUGCCGUAGCCUCCCCAGUAGCUGAGAUCACAGGCCUGUGACAGUAGGCCUGACUCGGUGGCCAUUUUAAGGACUGAUAGGGUGACGGAAGUAGAGGUCUUCUGGGGUCCACUACUGGAGGCCCUGUUCGUGUCGGCUGGUGCUGGGAUUGCCUAGAAAGAAGGCACUUGGAGACUUGAUCUGGGCCAUGGGAGACAGGAGCCGUUGCCAUCAGUGCCCAGGGCGCUAGCAUAUGUCUGAGUUGGGAGCGAGCGCGGGAGGGACUGCUACUGAAUCUCCUGCACUAGGAAGGCUCCAGGCGUAGCAGAAUCUGAAUCUCAAGUGGCCAUUAGCCCCAUUUAGAAUCACAGAGAGAGAGAGAACCAAGCUGUCUUCUAGAUAACCAUCAGACAGCUCCCUAAUGGCCACCAGACAUCCUUCCCAGGCAGGAGACACUUAGCCGACUCGGGGGUGAGACAAAACAGUGUUCCCUCCUCCCCCCAGCCAACAGCACACCAGUGAUUCCUGAGAUCAAAGACCCCGCAGUCAUCUUGGGCUCAUCCUAGCAGGCUGCCAUCAGCCAAUACCUUUCUGUGCUAGGGCCAGUCCCAGGGUCACAGAGCCAGAACUCUCUGAAGUUGCCCUUCCUUUCUUUCAACUCUUCAGCCUGAGCGCUGGCGUCCUACUGGUAGGGGCUUCUGCAGGGGCUGGAGAGAUAAUCACUGUCAGGGACGGGUGCCACUGGUGUGUAGCAGCUCGGGUCAGGGAUGCUACUCAAUAAACCUAACAAGCCCACCACCCGGCCCCAUACAUCAAGGAUGCAGAGGCAGGAAACCUGGCCGAGAGCCGAGCCUCUGCAGCCAGGCACGUGUGAGUCCUAACUUGGUCACACUUGCACUGGUGACUCUAGGCAAAUUUUUCCAUCCUUCUGAUGGUGGUGAUGCUGACUAAGCAUGCUACCGUACUCAAUAAAUGGAAGAGAAAGGAAGACAGACAGACAGACAGAAAGAUAGAAAGACAGAAGGAAAGAGAAGAGGAAAAGCAGGAUGCUCCUGGGGAUGGUAGAGGAGAAAGUUUAUUAUAAAUAAAAGGGAGAGAGGAGCCAGAGGCAGAGGCAUCUGAGAGAGUCCAAAGUGAACAAGGCCAGACUGAGCUGGGCUGUGUGAGCACAGGUAGGGAAGGAGAGCAAGAGAGGAGCCACUGCCGAACAAUAGGGUAGCCUGUAGCUUCUUAACUCAGUGUCUCAGUGAAGUGGUUGCCACAGAGGCAUGAGGACUAAGUUCAGAUCCUUGGCACCCACAUGAGAGGCUGGUGUAAUGGGGCGUGCUUGUAUCUCGAAUGAUGGGGCUAGCCAAAGCAAGAACUCCUGACUCAGAGAGACCUUGCCUCAAAAACUAACAUGGGGGACUGGGAGAUGACUCAGCAUUUAAGGGCAACACCUGUUGCUCUUGCAAAGGACCGGGGUUCGAUUCCCAGCACCCACAUGGAGGUUCACAACCAUCCGUAACUCCAGUUCCAAAGGACCCAUCACCCUCUUCUUCUGACCUCCACAGACACCAGAUGAUACACUUGUAUGCAGGCAAAACACUCAUACAUUAAAAAAAAUAAAAAAAAGGCAACAACCAUAACAACCAAAACACAGUAAGCUAUGUAAAUGCUAACGUUCACCUGUGAGGCUGCUUGCCCAAGGACGGAUAACUUCCCCUGAUCGCUAGGGGCCAUUGUUCAUGGGAGAUAAUAAGUCGUGUGUUUCUGCUUCAGUAAACCAGAUUGGUUUGCCCCAACUACAUGGGAUGUUCUUGAUCACACAGGAAGUGUGUAGCCUUAUGUGUUUUGACUUUAUAGCACCCGACUGGCCUAAUUCAGACCUAUUCUCUGGGAAUCCCAGCUAUGGACCUGACCACUGUCCAUCUUCCUGUAUUUCAAUAAAGCUUGCAUUAAUUGGA
Molecule: non-coding RNA, 3526 nt
Organism: Rattus norvegicus (Norway rat)
Lineage: Eukaryota; Metazoa; Chordata; Mammalia; Rodentia; Muridae
Source: RefSeq, a predicted model, not a curated record